ACGCUGGCGGCAUGCUUAACACGUGCAAGUCGAACGCUAUCGCAAGAUAGAGUGGCGCACGGGUGAGUAACGCGUGGGAAUCUGCCCUUUUGUCUGGGACAACAGCUGGAAACGGCUGCUAAUACCGGAUACGCCCCUCGGGGGAAAGGUCCGCCGCAGAAGGAGGAGCCCGCGUCUGAUUAGCUUGUUGGUAGGGUAAUGGCCUACCAAGGCAACGAUCAGUAGCUGGUCUGAGAGGAUGAUCGGCCACACUGGGACUGAGACACGGCCCAGACUCCUACGGGAGGCAGCAGUGGGGAAUAUUGGACAAUGGGGGCAACCCUGAUCCAGCAAUGCCGCGUGUGUGAUGAAGGCCUCUAGGUUGUAAAGCACUUUCACUGGUGAAGAUGAUGACGGUA
This 398-nucleotide ribosomal RNA is filed under the name uncultured bacterium. RNAcentral describes it as "bacterial SSU rRNA". It matches the Rfam family "Bacterial small subunit ribosomal RNA", at positions 33 to 477 of the family's 1533-position model. The record is from RNAcentral.